This 103-nucleotide small RNA is filed under the name Arabidopsis thaliana (thale cress). RNAcentral describes it as "ATSL163840". The record is from RNAcentral. Lineage: Eukaryota; Viridiplantae; Streptophyta; Magnoliopsida; Brassicales; Brassicaceae.
AGCUCUCUUUGGGCUUUCCGAAAAGGUAUCACAUGCCAAGUUUGGCUUCACGGUCUAAACCUUAUAGACUCAUACAUUUUUCACAAAAAAAAGAAGAGAAAAA